RNAcentral lists this ribosomal RNA (256 nucleotides) under uncultured bacterium. RNAcentral describes it as "partial 16S ribosomal RNA". It matches the Rfam family "Bacterial small subunit ribosomal RNA", at positions 524 to 776 of the family's 1533-position model. The record is from RNAcentral.
GACGUAGGUGGCGAACGUUAUCCGGAAUUAUUGGGCGUAAAGGGUGCGUAGGCGGCUUGAUAAGUUAUUGGCGGCAAAUCGAGGCUCAACCUCGUGGAAACUAAUAAUACUGUCUUGCUUGAGUGCAGAAGAGGUUAACGGAACUCCAUGUGGAGCGGUAAAAUGUGUAGAUAUAUGGAAGAACAUCAAUAACGGCGAAGGCAGUUAACUAUUCUGUUACUGACGUUGAGGCACGAAAGCGUGGGGAGCAAAAAGG